Molecule: ribosomal RNA, 506 nt
Filed under: uncultured bacterium
Lineage: Bacteria
Description: bacterial SSU rRNA
Rfam family: Bacterial small subunit ribosomal RNA
Source: RNAcentral
GGCUCAGGAUGAACGCUGGCGGCGUGCCUAAUACAUGCAAGUCGAGCGAACAGACGAGGAGCUUGCUCCUCUGACGUUAGCGGCGGACGGGUGAGUAACACGUGGAUAACCUACCUAUAAGGACUGGGAUAACUUCGGGAAACCGGAGCUAAUACCGGAUAAUAUAUUCGAACCGCAUGGUUCAAUAGUGAAAGACGGUUUUGCUGUCACUUAUAGAUGGAUCCGCGCCGCAUUAGCUAGUUGGUAAGGUAACGGCUUACCAAGGCAACGAUGCGUAGCCGACCUGAGAGGGUGAUCGGCCACACUGGAACUGAGACACGGUCCAGACUCCUACGGGAGGCAGCAGUAGGGAAUCUUCCGCAAUGGGCGAAAGCCUGACGGAGCAACGCCGCGUGAGUGAUGAAGGUCUUCGGAUCGUAAAACUCUGUUAUUAGGGAAGAACAAAUGUGUAAGUAACUAUGCACGUCUUGACGGUACCUAAUCAGAAAGCCACGGCUAACUACGUG